CCUACGGGUGGCAGCAGUGAGGAAUAUUGGUCAAUGGACGAGCGUCUGAACCAGCCAAGUAGCGUGAAGGAUGACUGCCCUAUGGGUUGUAAACUUCUUUUAUAUGGGAAUAAAACGUUCCACGUGUGGGAUUUUGUAUGUACCAUAUGAAUAAGGAUCGGCUAACUCCGUGCCAGCAGCCGCGGUAAUACGGAAGAUCCGAGCGUUAUCCUGAUUUAUUGGGUUUAAAGGGAGCGUAGGUGGGUUGUUAAGUCAGUUGUGAAAGUUUGCGGCUCAACCGUAAAAUUGCAGUUGAAACUGGCAGUCUUGAGUACAGUAGAGGUAGGCGGAAUUCGUGGUGUAGCGGUGAAAUGCUUAGAUAUCACGAAGAACUCCGAUUGCGAAGGCAGUUCACUGGACUGCAACUGACACUGAGGCUCGAAAGUGUGGGUAUCAAACAGGAUUAGAUACCCUUGUAGUC
This 460-nucleotide ribosomal RNA is filed under the name uncultured bacterium. RNAcentral describes it as "partial 16S ribosomal RNA". It matches the Rfam family "Bacterial small subunit ribosomal RNA", at positions 338 to 795 of the family's 1533-position model. The record is from RNAcentral.